This 405-nucleotide ribosomal RNA is filed under the name uncultured rumen bacterium. RNAcentral describes it as "bacterial SSU rRNA". It matches the Rfam family "Bacterial small subunit ribosomal RNA", at positions 354 to 776 of the family's 1533-position model. The record is from RNAcentral.
GUGGGGGAUAUUGCACAAUGGGCGAAAGCCUGAUGCAGCGACGCCGCGUGAGGGAAGAAGGUCUUCGGAUUGUAAACCUUUGUCCUAUGGGAAGAUAAUGACGGUACCAUGGGAGGAAGCCACGGCUAACUACGUGCCAGCAGCCGCGGUAAUACGUAGGUGGCAAGCGUUGUCCGGAUUUACUGGGUGUAAAGGGUGCGUAGGCGGGGCAGCAAGUUGGAUGUGAAAUCCUCGGGCUCAACUCGAGAACUGCAUUCAAAACUGUUGCUCUUGAGUGCAGUAGAGGCAAGCGGAAUUCCCGGUGUAGCGGUGAAAUGCGCAGAGAUCGGGAGGAACACCAGUGGCGAAGGCGGCUUGCUGGGCUGUUACUGACGCUGAGGCACGAAAGCAUGGGUAGCAAACAGG